GACGAACGCUGGCGGCGUGCCUAAUACAUGCAAGUUGAGCGCUGAAGGUUGGUACUUGUACCGACUGGCUGAGCAGCGAACGGGUGAGUAACGCGUGGGGAAUCUGCCUUUGAGCGGGGGACAACAUUUGGAAACGAAUGCUAAUACCGCAUAAAAACUUUAAACACAAGUUUUAAGUUUGAAAGAUGCAAUUGCAUCACUCAAAGAUGAUCCCGCGUUGUAUUAGCUAGUUGGUGAGGUAAAGGCUCACCAAGGCGAUGAUACAUAGCCGACCUGAGAGGGUGAUCGGCCACAUUGGGACUGAGACACGGCCCAAACUCCUACGGGAGGCAGCAGUAGGGAAUCUUCGGCAAUGGACGAAAGUCUGACCGAGCAACGCCGCGUGAGUGAAGAAGGGUUUCGGAUCGUAAAACUCUGUUGGUAGAGAAGAACGUUGGUGAGAGUGGAAAGCUCAUCAAGUGACGGUAACUACCCAGAAAGGGACGGCUAACUACGUG
RNAcentral lists this ribosomal RNA (497 nucleotides) under uncultured bacterium. RNAcentral's name for it is "partial 16S ribosomal RNA". It matches the Rfam family "Bacterial small subunit ribosomal RNA", at positions 28 to 507 of the family's 1533-position model. The record is from RNAcentral.